GCUGGGGAUGUAGCUCAGCGGUAGAGCACCUGCCUUGCAUGCACAAGGCCCUGGGUUCCAUCGCCAGCACUAGUU
Molecule: transfer RNA, 75 nt
Filed under: Marmota monax (woodchuck)
Lineage: Eukaryota; Metazoa; Chordata; Mammalia; Rodentia; Sciuridae
Description: tRNA.Ala
Rfam family: tRNA (bases 4-66)
About the family: Transfer RNA (tRNA) molecules are approximately 80 nucleotides in length. Their secondary structure includes four short double-helical elements and three loops (D, anti-codon, and T loops).
Source: RNAcentral